GUGCCAGCAGCCGCGGUAAGACGAGCUCUCCAAACGUUAUUCGGUAUCACUGGGCUUAAAGAGUUCGUAGGCGGCUUUGUAGGUGGGGUGUGAAAGCCCUCGGCUCAACCGAGGAAUUGCGCCCCAAACCGCAGGGCUUGAGGGAUAUAGGGGUAAGCGGAACAGAUGGUGGAGCGGUGAAAUGCAUUGAUAUCAUCUGGAACACCGGUGGCGAAAGCGGCUUACUGGAUAUUUUCUGACGCUGAGGAACGAAAGCUAGGGUAGCGAACGGGAUUAGAUACCCCCGUAGUCC
Molecule: ribosomal RNA, 292 nt
Filed under: uncultured bacterium
Lineage: Bacteria
Description: partial 16S ribosomal RNA
Rfam family: Bacterial small subunit ribosomal RNA
Source: RNAcentral